RNAcentral lists this ribosomal RNA (492 nucleotides) under uncultured bacterium. RNAcentral describes it as "partial 16S ribosomal RNA". It matches the Rfam family "Bacterial small subunit ribosomal RNA", at positions 29 to 507 of the family's 1533-position model. The record is from RNAcentral.
AGUGAACGCUGGCGGUAGGCCUAACACAUGCAAGUCGAGCGGCAGCACAGUAAGAGCUUGCUCUUACGGGUGGCGAGUGGCGGACGGGUGAGGAAUACAUCGGAAUCUACUUUUUCGUGGGGGAUAACGUAGGGAAACUUACGCUAAUACCGCAUACGACCUACGGGUGAAAGCAGGGGAUCUUCGGACCUUGCGCGAUUGAAUGAGCCGAUGUCGGAUUAGCUAGUUGGCGGGGUAAAGGCCCACCAAGGCGACGAUCCGUAGCUGGUCUGAGAGGGUGAUCAGCCACACUGGAACUGAGACACGGUCCAGACUCCUACGGGAGGCAGCAGUGGGGAAUAUUGGACAAUGGGCGCAAGCCUGAUCCAGCCAUACCGCGUGGGUGAAGAAGGCCUUCGGGUUGUAAAGCCCUUUUGUUGGGAAAGAAAAGCAGCAGGUUAAUACCCCGCUGUUCUGACGGUACCCAAAGAAUAAGCACCGGCUAACUUCGUG